Molecule: ribosomal RNA, 387 nt
Filed under: uncultured bacterium
Lineage: Bacteria
Description: bacterial SSU rRNA
Rfam family: Bacterial small subunit ribosomal RNA
Source: RNAcentral
GUUGAACGCUGGCGGAAUGCUUUACACAUGCAAGUCGAGCGGCAGCGCGGGGGCAACCCUGGCGGCGAGCGGCGAACGGGUGAGUAAUAUAUCGGAACGUACCCCGUCGUGGGGGAUAACACAGCGAAAGCUGUGCUAAUACCGCAUACGACCUGAGGGUGAAAGCGGGGGAUCGCAAGACCUCGCGCGAUGGGAGCGGCCGAUAUCGGAUUAGCUUGUUGGUGAGGUAAAGGCUCACCAAGGCGACGAUCCGUAGCUGGUCUGAGAGGACGACCAGCCACACUGGAACUGAGACACGGUCCAGACUCCUACGGGAGGCAGCAGUGGGAAAUUUUGGACAAUGGGGGCAACCCUGAUCCAGCCAUUCCGCGUGAGUGAAGAAGGCCU